UUUGAUGUGCAAUUUAGGGAACUUCA
This 26-nucleotide small RNA is filed under the name Bombyx mori (domestic silkworm). RNAcentral's name for it is "ovarian small RNA-38390". The record is from RNAcentral. Lineage: Eukaryota; Metazoa; Arthropoda; Insecta; Lepidoptera; Bombycidae.